RNAcentral lists this ribosomal RNA (484 nucleotides) under uncultured bacterium. Its description in RNAcentral is "partial 16S ribosomal RNA". It matches the Rfam family "Bacterial small subunit ribosomal RNA", at positions 28 to 507 of the family's 1533-position model. The record is from RNAcentral.
AUUGAACGCUGGCGGCAUGCUUUACACAUGCAAGUCGAACGGCAGCGCGGGCUUCGUCCUGGCGGCGAGUGGCGAACGGGUGGGUAAUGCACCGGAACGUGCCCAGCAGUGGGGGAUAGCCCGGCGAAAGCCGGAUUAAUACCGCAUACGACCUGAGGGUGAAAGCGGGGGACCGAAAGGCCUCGCGCGAUUGGAGCGGCCGAUGUCGGAUUAGCUAGUUGGUGGGGUAAAGGCUUACCAAGGCGACGAUCCGUAGCUGGUCUGAGAGGACGACCAGCCACACUGGAACUGAGACACGGCCCAGACUCCUACGGGAGGCAGCAGUGGGGAAUUUUGGACAAUGGGGGCAACCCUGAUCCAGCCAUGCCGCGUGCGGGAAGAAGGCCUUCGGGUUGUAAACCGCUUUUGUUCGGGAAGAAAUCCUCUGGGCUAAUACCCCGGGGGGAUGACGGUACCGGAAGAAUAAGCACCGGCUAACUACGUG